GACGAACGCUGGCGGCGUGCCUAAUACAUGCAAGUAGGACGCACAGUUUAUACCGUAGCUUGCUACACCAUAGACUGUGAGUUGCGAACGGGUGAGUAACGCGUAGGUAACCUACCUAUUAGAGGGGGAUAACUAUUGGAAACGAUAGCUAAUACCGCAUAACAGUAUGUAACACAUGUUAGAUGCUUGAAAGAUGCAAUUGCAUCGCUAGUAGAUGGACCUGCGUUGUAUUAGCUAGUAGGUAGGGUAAAGGCCUACCUAGGCAACGAUACAUAGCCGACCUGAGAGGGUGAUCGGCCACACUGGGACUGAGACACGGCCCAGACUCCUACGGGAGGCAGCAGUAGGGAAUCUUCAGCAAUGGGGGGAACCCUGACCGAGCAACGCCGCGUGAGUGAAGAAGGUUUUCGGAUCGUAAAGCUCUGUUGUUAAGGAAGAACGAGUGUGAGAAUGGAAAGUUCAUGCUGUGACGGUACUUAACCAGAAAGGGACGGCUAACUACGUGCCAGCAGCCGCGGUAAUACGUAGGUCCCGAGCGUUGUCCGGAUUUAUUGGGCGUAAAGCGAGCGCAGGCGGUUAGAAAAGUCUGAAGUGAAAGGCAGUGGCUCAACCAUUGUAGGCUUUGGAAACUGUUUAACUUGAGUGCAGAAGGGGAGAGUGGAAUUCCAUGUGUAGCGGUGAAAUGCGUAGAUAUAUGGAGGAACACCGGUGGCGAAAGCGGCUCUCUGGUCUGUAACUGACGCUGAGGCUCGAAAGCGUGGGGAGCGAACAGG
RNAcentral lists this ribosomal RNA (773 nucleotides) under Streptococcus anginosus. RNAcentral describes it as "bacterial SSU rRNA". It matches the Rfam family "Bacterial small subunit ribosomal RNA", at positions 28 to 776 of the family's 1533-position model. The record is from RNAcentral. Lineage: Bacteria; Bacillati; Bacillota; Bacilli; Lactobacillales; Streptococcaceae.